AAAGUGUUUCUGCUUUUAUAUUUAGGAACUCAUUGGACCUUGCUCGAAGGCAAACUGUAAUGACAACCAAACAUGUCAGCAGCUUCCGUUCGGGGAAUUUAAGUGCAUUUUGUCAGACUGUGGAGUUCCUAGGAGUGAAAAUGUAACCCUUGACGCCGUAAAAAGGUGGGAUGGAAUUGGAAUCCAAAGGAGAAUACAUAUAAAAUGUGCAGAAAACUAUAAACAAACUGGGUCACAGCAGUUCAUAUGCCAAUCAAACGGAAAAUGGAGGACUGAUUUAAUCUGCGAAAAAGGCUGUGAUAAGGGUUGGAGUGAAUUCGAAAAUCAUUGUUACUAUAAAUACGAAACAAGUGUUACAUGGCAAGAAGCCAAGGAAAAAUGUGAAAAGAAAAAUGCUUAUCUGGUAGAAGUGAACGAAAAAAAGGAAAAUGAUUUUCUUCAAAAGACCUUCUUACAGAUCAUUGAAAGUAGUGCCUGUAGUGGAGAUAACACCUGUCCUGCGUGGAUCGGAG
Long non-coding RNA from Saccostrea cuccullata (small rock oyster), 512 nucleotides. RefSeq lists it as uncharacterized. The transcript is spliced from 5 exons. The record is from RefSeq and is a predicted model, not a curated record. Lineage: Eukaryota; Metazoa; Mollusca; Bivalvia; Ostreida; Ostreidae.